AUGGGAACGCGAAGAACCUUACCUAGACUUGACAUCUCCUGAAUAGUGUAGAGAUACAUGAAGCCCUUCGGGGCAGGAAGACAGGUGGUGCAUGGUUGUCGUCAGCUCGUGUCGUGAGAUGUUGGGUUAAGUCCCGCAACGAGCGCAACCCUUAUUACUAGUUGCUACCAUUAAGUUGAGCACUCUAGUGAGACUGCCCGGGGUUAACCGGGAGGAAGGCGGGGAUGACGUCAAAUCAUCAUGCCCCUUAUGUCUAGGGCAACACACGUGCUACAAUGGUGAGUACAGAUAGAUGCGAUACCGCAAGGUGGAGCCAAACUCUAAAACUCAUCCCAGUUCGGAUUGUGGGCUGAAACUCGCCUACAUGAAGCUGGAGUUGCUAGUAAUCGCGAAUCAGAAUGUCGCGGUGAAUACGUUCCCGGGUCUUGUACACACCG
RNAcentral lists this ribosomal RNA (437 nucleotides) under uncultured bacterium. RNAcentral describes it as "bacterial SSU rRNA". It matches the Rfam family "Bacterial small subunit ribosomal RNA", at positions 954 to 1392 of the family's 1533-position model. The record is from RNAcentral.